GGUUCGAUCCUGGCUCAGAUUGAACGCUGGCGGGAUGCUUUACACAUGCAAGUCGAACGGCAGCACGAAUUUCUGGUCUGGUGGCGAGUGGCGAACGGGUGAGUAAUGUAUCGGAACGUGCCUAGUAGCGGGGGAUAACUACGCGAAAGCGUGCUGGCCACCGCAUACGCCCUUCGGGGGUGCUGGGGGACCUUCGGGCCUUCGCACUAUUAGAGCGGCCGAUAUCGGAUUAGCUAGUUGGUGGGGUAACGGCUCACCAAGGCGACGAUCCGUAGCUGGUUUGAGAGGACGACCAGCCACACUGGGACUGAGACACGGCCCAGACUCCUACGGAGGCAGCAGGGGAAUGGGACACAAUGGGGGAAACCCUGAUCCAGCCAUCCCGCGUGUGCGAUGAAGGCCUUCGGGGCCAGGAAGCACUUUUGGCAGGAAAGAAACGGCACGGUAUAAUACCCCGUGCAAACUGACGGUACCUGCAGAAGGCACCUACACCACGCCAGCAGCCGCGGCAAUACGUAGGGUGCAAGCGUUAAUCGGAAUUACCGGGUAAAAGCGUGCGCAGGCGGUUCGGAAAGAAAGAUGUGAAAUCCCCAGAGCUUAACUUUGGAACUGCAUUUUUAACUACCGAGCUAGAGUGUGUCAGAGGGAGGCGGAAUUCCGCGUGUAGCAGUGAAAUGCGUAGAUAUGCGGAGGAACACCGAUGGCGAAGGCAGCCUCCCGAUAACACUGACGUCCAUGCACGAAAGCGUGGGGAGCAAACAGGAUUAGAUACCCUGGUAGUCCACGCCCUAAACGAUGUCAACUAGCUGUUGGGGCCUUCGGGCCUUGGCAGCGCAGCUAACGCGUGAAGUUGACCGCCUGGGGAGUACGGUCGCAGAUUAAAACUCAAAGGAAUUGGACGGGGACCCCGCACAAGCGGUGGAUGAUGGACACCUGAUGCAGCGCGAAAACCUUACCUACCCUUGACAUGUCUGGAAUCCCGGAAGAUUGGGAGUGCUCGCAAGAGAACCGGAACACAGGUGCUGCAUGGCUGUCGCUCGUGUCGAGAUGUUCGGGUUAAGUCCCGCAACGAGCGGCAACCUUGUCAUUAGUUGCUACGAAAGGGCACCCCUGACGAGACUGCCGGUGACAAACCGGAGGAAGGUGGGGAUGACGUCAAGUCCUCAUGGCCCUUAUGGGUAGGGCUUCACACGUCAUACAAUGGUCGGGACAGAGGGUCGCCAACCCGCGAGGGGAGCCAAUCCCAGAAACCCGAUCGUAGUCCGGAUCGCAGUCUGCAACGACUGCAAGUCGGAAUCGCCAGUAAUCGCGGAUCAGCAUGUCUGCAGAAUACGUUCCCGGGUCUUGUACACACCGCCCGUCACACCAUGUAUGGUUUACCAGAAGUAGUUAGCCUAACCGUAAGGAGGGCGAUUACCACGGUAGGAUUCAUGACUGGGGUGAAGUCGUAACAGUAG
This 1457-nucleotide ribosomal RNA is filed under the name uncultured Bordetella sp. Its description in RNAcentral is "partial 16S-23S ribosomal RNA intergenic spacer". It matches the Rfam family "Bacterial small subunit ribosomal RNA". Lineage: Bacteria; Pseudomonadati; Pseudomonadota; Betaproteobacteria; Burkholderiales; Alcaligenaceae. The record is from RNAcentral.